RNAcentral lists this ribosomal RNA (497 nucleotides) under uncultured bacterium. Its description in RNAcentral is "partial 16S ribosomal RNA". It matches the Rfam family "Bacterial small subunit ribosomal RNA", at positions 28 to 507 of the family's 1533-position model. The record is from RNAcentral.
GAUGAACGCUGGCGGCGUGCCUAAUACAUGCAAGUCGAGCGAACGGACGAGAAGCUUGCUUCUCUGAUGUUAGCGGCGGACGGGUGAGUAACACGUGGAUAACCUACCUAUAAGACUGGGAUAACUUCGGGAAACCGGAGCUAAUACCGGAUGAUAUUUUGAACCGCAUGGUUCAAAAGUGAAAGACGGUCUUGCUGUCACUUAUAGAUGGAUCCGCGCUGCAUUAGCUAGUUGGUAAGGUAACGGCUUACCAAGGCAACGAUGCAUAGCCGACCUGAGAGGGUGAUCGGCCACACUGGAACUGAGACACGGUCCAGACUCCUACGGGAGGCAGCAGUAGUGAAUCUUCCGCAAUGGGCGAAAGCCUGACGGAGCAACGCCGCGUGAGUGAUGAAGGUCUUCGGAUCGUAAAACUCUGUUAUUAGGGAAGAACAUAUGUGUAAGUAACUGUGCACAUCUUGACGAUACCUAAUCAGAAAGCCACGGCUAACUACGUG